This 452-nucleotide ribosomal RNA is filed under the name uncultured bacterium. RNAcentral describes it as "bacterial SSU rRNA". It matches the Rfam family "Bacterial small subunit ribosomal RNA", at positions 335 to 799 of the family's 1533-position model. The record is from RNAcentral.
ACUCCUACGGGAGGCAGCAGUGGGGAAUAUUGCACAAUGGGCGCAAGCCUGAUGCAGCAACGCCGUGUGAGUGAAGAAGGUUUUCGGAUCGUAAAACUCUGUCCUAAGGGAAGAAACAAAUGACGGUACCUUAGGAGGAAGCCCCGGCUAACUACGUGCCAGCAGCCGCGGUAAUACGUAGGGGGCAAGCGUUAUCCGGAAUCACUGGGCGUAAAGGGUGCGUAGGCGGCUUAGCAAGCCAGGGGUGAAAGGCAUUGGCUCAACCAAUGUAAGCCUUUGGAACUGUUAAGCUUGAGUGCAGGAGAGGUAAGUGGAAUUCCUAGUGUAGAGGUGAAAUUCGUAGAUAUUAGGAGGAACACCAGUGGCGAAGGCGACUUACUGGACUGUAACUGACGCUGAUGCACGAAAGCGGUGGGUAGCGAAACAGGAUUAGAUACCCUGGUAGCACAGAG